RNAcentral lists this ribosomal RNA (779 nucleotides) under Cladosporium herbarum. Its description in RNAcentral is "LSU rRNA". It matches the Rfam family "Eukaryotic large subunit ribosomal RNA", at positions 100 to 905 of the family's 3401-position model. The record is from RNAcentral. Lineage: Eukaryota; Fungi; Ascomycota; Dothideomycetes; Cladosporiales; Cladosporiaceae.
AGCAAUAGCUCAAAUUUGAAAUCUGGCGUCUUCGACGUCCGAGUUGUAAUUUGUAGAGGAUGCUUCUGAGUGGCCACCGACCUAAGUUCCUUGGAACAGGACGUCAUAGAGGGUGAGAAUCCCGUAUGCGGUCGGAAAGGCGCUCUAUACGUAGCUCCUUCGACGAGUCGAGUUGUUUGGGAAUGCAGCUCUAAAUGGGAGGUAAAUUUCUUCUAAAGCUAAAUAUUGGCCAGAGACCGAUAGCGCACAAGUAGAGUGAUCGAAAGAUGAAAAGCACUUUGGAAAGAGAGUUAAAAAGCACGUGAAAUUGUUAAAAGGGAAGGGAUUGCAACCAGACUUGCUCGCGGUGUUCCGCCGGUCUUCUGACCGGUCUACUCGCCGCGUUGCAGGCCAGCAUCGUCUGGUGCCGCUGGAUAAGACUUGAGGAAUGUAGCUCCCUCGGGAGUGUUAUAGCCUCUUGUGAUGCAGCGAGCGCCGGGCGAGGUCCGCGCUUCGGCUAGGAUGCUGGCGUAAUGGUCGUAAUCCGCCCGUCUUGAAACACGGACCAAGGAGUCUAACAUCUAUGCGAGUGUUCGGGUGUCAAACCCCUACGCGUAAUGAAAGUGAACGGAGGUGAGAACCGCAAGGUGCAUCAUCGACCGAUCCUGAUGUCUUCGGAUGGAUUUGAGUAAGAGCAUAGCUUUUGGGACCCGAAAGAUGGUGAACUAUGCCUGAAUAGGGUGAAGCCAGAGGAAACUCUGGUGGAGGCUCGCAGCGGUUCUAACGUGCAAAUCGAUCGU